This 2745-nucleotide ribosomal RNA is filed under the name Triticum aestivum (bread wheat). Its description in RNAcentral is "partial small subunit ribosomal RNA". Lineage: Eukaryota; Viridiplantae; Streptophyta; Magnoliopsida; Poales; Poaceae. The record is from RNAcentral.
CGACCCAACCAGCACGGGCCCACGUACUCCAAAACCGGAUAGGGAUGGGACGUAGGGUGUCGGUUAGGUAGGAGCGGAGCAGGGUGAGGGCGUGGUUGGUGGUGGGUUUGGGAUCGGGACAAAGGGACGCUAGGGGUGUCGGAGAGGGCGGAGGAGGUAGGGAGGAGGAGCGGAGCGGUACCGGAGGCGGGGCCCCGGAUCGGGGUGGUGAAGUGGAAGGAAAAGAAGCAACAGACGCGGGCAGUCGCUCCGGACCGAGGUCUAGUCCACGCCCAAUCCGCUCGAGCCACCACCCUACUUACCCGUCUCCUCCACCCGCUACUCCCGUCCGUUGUCAGCCCGCGCCGCCGGUACCGGUUCCCGCGCCGACCCCUCGAUGCGUGUGCAGCUCAUUGCCGCUGGCGUAGGCCACGGUUGUGGCUCGGCCUCGACCCAGCUCCUCGGCCGGAGACGGAAGCGGUAACGGACUCUCUUCGUUGUGGCUGCAACCCGAAAGGUACACGUCCUACUACUCCAUACCGUACCUUACCAACCCAAAACUCACCAUCCACUAGGGAUACGGCCGCCAGUAUCGCCGGUAGUAACGGUUCGUCAUCUUCUCUUACCAUUGGUUUCGGUGGAAACAACUAGUACCUAAAUCUUCUUUCGGUUGUCUCAUACUUUUCCAAGAGUACCCUGAGUGGGACUUGACUUUAGACACAAGUUGGAACCAUAUUAAGACACUGUUUUUGGGGUUCACCAGGUUAUAAAACAAAUAAAUCACGGACAACAAAAACCAAACAAUAUUGGCUUAAAUGUUGGAUGAUAAGUACGUAAAGAAAAUAAGACAAAACCACCCAAGAUUUGAUACUUUAAUCCUGAUAUCAAAUAAUCAAACUCUGGACGAAGACCUAUUUCUUACCUUCCUUCUUAAGAAUGAAGUACUACUGUGUGUACUAACAGUUUGAUGUCUUUUAUGAACUGAAUACAUGACAUACUAAGGGCUCAAGGAAACGAAAGUUCUAAAUUCACCCCCUUGAGCACUCGAAUACUUACUCACUAAGCCUAAAUAGAUUAACCCUUGAUCGUUUAGUACGUCUCAUUCCCAAAAAAGACGAGCAUAUCUAACCAACCAGCUAACGAACUAUGUAGUAUGGAAUUUGUAGUAUUGAAGACUAACCCCCCCGGACCAACUACGGGACAGACUACACUUAGAAAACCCUACGCGCCCAUAUAUGAAGGUGGUGAUAUAUGUUUUUACUCAUGACGGAAAUUGUACCCGUACUAUAAUUUAAACUCACUUAGAUUCCCGGAUGACCCACGUAUUAGACCCCGAUAUAAUAAAAUCUAAAAAAAACACACACGCUCCUCGUCAAGAUGUUAGAGAAGUACCAAGUAGUAAAUGUAUAAUCAACCUACUAUAGAAAAUUAGACAACACUGACUGAACGACGAAUAUACCUGUUUACUCAUGUUGUAAAUUGUACCCGUACUACAAUUUAAACUCACUUAUAUUCCCGGAUGACCGACGUAUUAGACACCGAUAAAAAACACACAGACGCUCCUCGUUAAGAUGAUAGAGAAGUUCCAAGUUGCAAAUAUAUAAUAAACCUAUCAUAGAGAAAUAAAACAAUAACACUGACUGGUCGACGAAUGAAUAUACCUGUUGAACUUGACUUUCGUUCUCAUCUUCGGGUACUCUACUCUGUGUUCCCUUUAUACGUACUUUUACCGUGUUAGUACUAAAUCAAACCAGUCGUUCAUGGAUUAAUGUUCAGUAGUCGAUUGCUAAGAGGGGUUCUUCACAAGCCUUACUCGUUUCUUUCGAAAUUACUCUUCUUAUAACUACAACAUGUUAUCGACCUUCUAGUGUUCUCUAGCUGGAAAACCUACCAGAUUAUGAAGGAUAUACCCGUGUAUCUUUUCGGUGAUGCGCAACGACUUCGACCUCAGUACUACCGCAAUCAUUGGAACCACUACGAAGAAUAUGCCGUUUGGUUGAACAAGAACUAAUAGGAUACCCAAUAAAUAGGUCUACAACGUGUAUCCUCAUGACACCUCGAUUAUUAAUAAACUUAGACUCGAUCGGAUGAUAAAGUUAGACUCCAGUUUUUAAUGUUUAGAGUCACAAACAAAAGUCCAGGGAGUAUGUCACCAAGUCUUUUUUUGGAUAGGUUACCUCUACUACGUACUCCUCGUCGUUUCAGAUACAAGAAAAAGAGCGAGACUUGUUCGUUAGUUGCGCCGUGUACACCUUCAACACUUACCGUGGCCAGAACAGUAUGAAUACUCGUCCUCGUGGCCGGUGUAAUGAGAAGUACGGUGAGACUCGUCAACCGACGACGAACUCUAACUAAAGGUACAACUUCCCUUCCCUCUGGACUAACUCAAGGACAUAUACGUUCCUAUUUAUUCUUCCCCGUAACAGCACCAACAACGACUUCCACAACCAGUCCUCGACUAAUGGCCCUGACUACUGUUCUUACCUCUCGUCCUACUCAUACAGUUGUACGACAAGGAACUGCAACCGGAAGAAGAUACUUCAAGUGUACGUUAAGAGGAGGUACCAAUCUUUUUUGAUUAAAUUUGUAAAACAAAGAACCUACCAAUGAGUAAAGAGAACGGCAACAACAUAGUUUUGUUAACGUAAAAGCAACUACAGACGAACCCGAGUAAAAGUUCCUCUUACUCUACACCUUAUUUGAUGAGACUUUACCAACCAAGGGAAGUUUGUUAAAUAAUCGAUUGAUUAAAACCGACUACAACGU